Molecule: non-coding RNA, 133 nt
Organism: Plenodomus tracheiphilus IPT5
Lineage: Eukaryota; Fungi; Ascomycota; Dothideomycetes; Pleosporales; Leptosphaeriaceae
Source: the annotation of a GenBank genome assembly
GCCCUCUUGGCUUAGUGGUAAAGCGUAUCACUAGUAUUCAGAUGCUAUGAUAAGAUCGCUCGUAAGCAAAGCUCUGUGCAUGAUGUAGAAGACAAACACUAACUUCACAAAGGUUCGAUUCGGGCAGAGGGCA